Molecule: long non-coding RNA, 228 nt
Filed under: Setaria italica (foxtail millet)
Lineage: Eukaryota; Viridiplantae; Streptophyta; Magnoliopsida; Poales; Poaceae
Description: long non-coding RNA (SITA_LNC002793)
Source: RNAcentral
UAAUUUUUAGUCGAGACGAGUUGAAGUCGUCGACGAGCUGCCCGUAGCUGACGGAGUGGUCGGCAAGCUGAUCGUGGUUGUCUUGACGUGGACGAGGAGUAGUUCAUUCUGUCUCGCCCGACCCAAGGUCCCGGGGUCGGACAUGCCCGACCCUUUGAGGAUGGAACUCCGCCUCGCCCGACCCUUGGUCCCAGGGUCGGAUGCGUCCGACCCUUUGCCGCAAGGUUU